GACAUGAUGGAGCAGUUUCAAAGGACUCACAGGCUUUCUGUUCCUGAGACACUCCACAGACAGUUGUGUUCCAUGUUGUCUUCAGGCUCUGUGUCUGAUGAGGGUAUAAUGGAGGCCAUGGUGAGGUGCUGGGAGGAGAAUCAGUAUUUGGUGUGUCCUCAUACUGCUGUGGCUCUCUGGCAUCACUACCACUGCCCUGUCCUCCCCGAGCAAAAGAGUGAUUGAAUGAGAAAAGAAAAGAAGAGAGAAAAGUCAUGAAGAGAAGCAGAAAACACCGAAAGACAAAGCAGUCAACAGCUCCACAGGAGAUGAAGCAGGAGCGAGAGCUGAGCCCCCCACCCAGUCCCCCAGCCUGCGGGUGCAACUGCAUCCCUAAAAUGUUCCUGUUUCGCAAAAAGGGCAGGAAGCAGGAGAGGCAGAAAGAGGAGGAGCAGCUUCAGACAGAGAGGAGAGAAACGGAGCUGACUAAGAAGGAAACCACCCAGAAGAGAAAGAAGGAGAGGCAGAGGAAGAAUAUGGAGCAGGAGAAGGAUAAGGAGAUCAGGGAUCUGGAAGAGGCAGUGAGACUGCUCGAGGAGGAGAUUCAGGGAUUCAGAGAGAGAAAGAAAGAGCUGAAAAGAGAGCUGAAGACCCUGAAGAAGAAAAUAGCAGGAGUAGAGAUGGAGACUUCAAAAACCAGACAGACAAAGCAGGAAUGGAAGAAAGAGAUGGAAGCAAUGAAGGAAAGAAUGAUACAGGAAGAAAAACAGAGGGAGGAAAAGAGGACAGGACAAAGGGAGGUCAUCUGUAAAGAAAUAAUCAUUACUGUAGCCAAGACAGAAAGAGAAAUGGAAGAAAAGAAAGAAAAGCAGGAUGAUAGGAAGAUUGCUACAGUCAGUGAGAGGCAGGAAGUCGUAAAGGAGAAGAAGAGUGAAGAAGAGCUGCUUGAGGAAAUGGAGAAGCAGAGAGAGGAGGAACAGCUGAAAGAGAGGAGAGAGAGUCAGGAGGCAACAGAAAGCAGAAAAGAAGUUGUGAUCGAGAUAGAGAACCUACAGAUGGAGCCUGCAGCACCCAGCACGUCUAGGAAAAAUGUGGUGCAGAGAGUGCUGUCCAGUGUUCUGUCCAGUAUUCACUCUGGAGUUCAGUCCUUCAUAGAGUUCCGGAAAAAAUUCUCAAUUCAGCCUGUUCAAGAUGAGAAAGAGGAGCUUAAGGACAAGUCCCCAUCUCGUCCAUUGGUGCCACUCGGAGCUCCGACUGGGGUCCUGACUAUACGCAUAAGAAGCUGCAGAGACUUCAGGAAAAACACACGUAUACAGAAAGACACUCAGUGUAUGGUGAGGAUCACUGUUGGGAGAAUGGUGAAGUGCUCCAGACUGCAGCCCUUCGAAGACAACCUGACCUUCAAUGAAGUGAAACACUUCUCCAUACAGAUCCAAAAAGAAGGGGCUCUAGGGGUCCAGGAGUCCAGCUCAGUGAAGGUGGAUUUAAUCUCUUUUGGUGGUGAUUCAGCUGCCCCCAAACUCAUGGGCAGCACCACCAUCAAGCUGCAGGAAGUCCUUUUUCAGAAAUCAUCGGUUAGCCAGCAGAUUGAUUUGAGGCUUGGAAACAAAAAAGUGUGCAAGUUGGAUGCAGACCUGACUUUUACAUACGGGUCCUUUGGCUAUGGGUACUCUCACCAGAUGAAACAUCCUGGAAGAAAGAUGAAGAAUCUGGUGGAGGAGUCCCUCUUUCUCCGCUGCCCACCUCCUGAGGACAGAAGAGAUCCACACUACAAUGUGACGACCCCUUGCAGACCAUCCUCGGUCAACAUCAUGUCAUCUCUGAUACAGCGAGACGCACAGAGAGACAAUAAAUGCAGAAUAUCAGCUGGCAUAAUGAACUGCAUGGAGAGGAGAGGCAGGUUGUCACAGCUUCAUAAAGACUUGGAGGACUGUGAGACAGGAGAGGAUAGGGUGCAGUUACUGGAGAGUUUGAUCUUGAAGACAGGAACUCGCACCAGCUCUCCCUGUAAAACGAACCAGAGCACAGAGAUCCGGUCUGAAGAGGCGGAAGAAAGGAGAAGAGAGGAGAAUAGUGAAGAUGGAAAGGCAGAGGAGACAGUUAAAAAAGGAAAAGCAAAAUGUAAGAACACAAAAUGACCAGCCUACGACUGACUGCUGGUGAAUCCUCCUGAGCCUCAUAUACAGUACAGAAUGGAAUGUGGUGUCUGAAGCUCAGAUGAUGAUGAGCCCCAAUUUUCACAGCUGCCCAGCCAGAUUUCCAGUCUCCUGCUCUGAUGGUCUCCCCAGUCUCCAGCUCAGCCAGAAUCACAGUCUCUCUUCCUGCAUUGGCUCUCAUCAGCAACAGCACCAUCCUGUUUUCCGCCUACUCAACAUUCCACACACCUGCAGCUGAAUCAAAAACUCAUUUACGAGAUAACAAAUACCUCUAGCUUUGGUCUCGUCUUUUGCAAAAUCUUGUAAUUCUCAUGUUCAACUUUCUCAGUGUUUACAGUUCUUCGUUUUUCUGUGAUUUGGCCCCUGCUGUUUUCAGAUUAUGGAUUUUUCUUGUCUGCCUGCCUGCCUGUGGACUGACCACUGCCUGUGCCCAUGACAAUGAGUACUGGAAGCCCCAUUGAAGCUGGUCAACACAUGUGGCCUGCCUACACUUCUAGUUUACAGAUGGCACUGAUCCAGUACCAGGGCUGUCUAACAUGGCGGUGGAAGCACUUCCUAACACAGCAGCAGGUUCUCUCUUGGAGCCUGAUGACUCGGCUUUGUCACUGGACGUCUCCCGUUUCUUGCAGAGCCUGACUGAUCGAAGUCUUUUACAGAAAGAAGAGUCAGUAUUGAAUCGUAAAGAUUGUGACCACCGUAUCGCACAAAAUCAUCAUUCCAAAGCUUGGAGAGGUCCUGAACAUGGACUCUCAGACGCUUUUCUUUGCAAGACCAGGAUCUUCAUGUCAUUCUUUGCAGUCGGUCACCAAAGAUGUAGUCAAUGCCUUUGUGAAGACUAUCGGUGGCUCUCUUGAUGAAAAGGAGGAUUCUCACAUGGUUGAGCUCCUUAGCAAUGUGAUGGAAAUGGUUGAGCUCCUGGCAUCCAAACAUAGGUCAGUCGAGCGCCUUCAUUCGUCACUGCCUGUUGAGCUGAGGACCGAGAAACCCAAGAAACUGACGUUUGAAGAUCACUCACUUCAGGAAUGUGCUAAAGAGGUGAUACGAGAGAUCUUCUCCAUCAAUGAAGCUAAAGAACUCAAGAGGGAAAGUGUGACAGAUCUGACUUACCCUCCCAAGAUGUGCAUCACAAUCAGGGAGUUAGUUGAGUGAGGACUCUCGAAACAAGGCAGCUCAGGAAGUGAGUCAAAUCCUACUGAAGUCUUCAGAGAGCUGCCUUGUUAGUUCUUUCCAUUUGCUCACGAGUGCUCACACCAGCCAGACAGAUUCCAGUGUGAAACCAACUCCGUCUGAAUGCUCAGUAAAGGCAUUUGCAAUCGUCGAUUCUGUCAUUGAUGGAAUUUGCACAUAUUUUGCGCAAGAGCCUAUACUUCCAUCUCAAGAUGCCAAAAAUCAACAUCUUCAAAAAGAGAUCCAAAAAGGACAAUAAUGCCAGAUCUCAUACUUCAGAUCAGGACCGUUUGCAGAGUCGUCGCACUGCUGAUAUGAGUGGAGCCAACAGUGAGACUUCAAAAAAGGAGAAACCUUGGAGACCUUCCAUUUGCACCAGGAUGUUCUCCUGCUUCAGGAAAUGAGCUGCCUCAUUCCUCUUUAAGUUUGUUUAUCUAAUCAUCAUCAUCUUCUUCACCUCUCUUCAUGCUCUCGUUAGGCUGAAUCCUGCCAGAAAACAAAAUCACUUAUCACAGUUAUCCUGACGACACCCAGGUUUACUUCGCUCUCUCACCAAAUGACUGUGGUCCCACAGAUACUGUGUGUCAGUGCUCAGUGCAAAUCCGGAGUCGACCAAAGGAGGAUAGGUUCCCCAUUUGAGUCUUGGUUCCUCUCAAGGUUUCUUCCUCUUGCUGUUGGGAGUUUUUCCUUGCCACUGUCGCCCUCGGCUUGCUCAUUUAGGGCUCGGACCCGGAUUUUCUCUAAAGCUGCUUUGUGACGCUCGUAAAAAGUGCUCUAGAAAUAAAUCUUGAAUUGAAUUAAAAGAUCUGUCAACAUUUCCUCCAGCUAAAUAAAGACAGGAGUAAUAUUAUUUGGCAAUGAGGAGGAAAGACUGAAGGUCAGUGAGCACUUCAGAGCUCCAAUGAUUAAAGACCAAGUCAGAAACCUGGGUGUACUAACGGAUCCAAAUUAAACCUUAAAUCCAGCCUGAAAUUUUAGUCCAGAUCUGAAUUUUGGCUAAGAACCUUCUGUCCAAGCUCAAUGUGACCUGAACCACAUAAGUUUACAGUCUAAAAUUGAUCCCACUCCAACAGAAUUCUGCCCAAAACUGACCCAAAGUGGCCAAUCAUCACACAACGUACCAAAACUAAAACUCUAAAACUCUCUUAAAACUCUAUUUCUUUGAAUAGAAUGUAUUCAACAUAAAGCAGAAACAGGUUUGGCCAAAAUAUGAAACAUAAACGUCUGUUUAGCUGCAGUAAACCAGCUCGCCUGCUGCUCGAAGCUGGAAACAGCUGCCAGAAGAUCUCUGAUCUGCCCCUCAUUUGUCCAUCUUUGAACUCUUCUUUUUAUUUUGUGUGUCUUUCACACUUUCUGUUUAGACUUUGCACUUCUUUUUAGUUCCUUUUAUUUUUUUAUUUCCCCCUUAUUUUAUUGUGCUGUUUUUAUUUUGCUUUUAUUUAUGUAAAGCACUUUGAACUGCCCUUCUUAAAAUAAACUUGUAAUAAAUAAACAUGA
Colossoma macropomum (tambaqui) is the source of this 4799-nucleotide RNA transcript. It is a transcript of the gene named threonine synthase-like 2, with no coding region annotated. The transcript is spliced from 22 exons. NCBI's taxonomy places the organism in Eukaryota, Metazoa, Chordata, Actinopteri, Characiformes, Serrasalmidae. The record is from RefSeq and is a predicted model, not a curated record.